This 91-nucleotide non-coding RNA is filed under the name Desulfobacterales bacterium. Its description in RNAcentral is "c-di-GMP sequence". It matches the Rfam family "c-di-GMP-I riboswitch aptamer". Rfam says of the family: GEMM was predicted in a large-scale screen for bacterial structured RNA regulatory elements. Genes associated with GEMM are involved in a diverse array of functions, including chemotaxis regulation, signal transduction, secretion and chitin. Lineage: Bacteria; Pseudomonadati; Thermodesulfobacteriota; Desulfobacteria; Desulfobacterales. The record is from RNAcentral.
GUUUGACAAGGGCAAACCAUCCGAAAGUGUGGGACGCAAAGCCACUGGCCCAAGUCUCAGGGUACUGAGAUACGGUAGCAGGGCUGCCGGG